GAUGAACGCUCGCUACAGGCUUAACACAUGCAAGUCGAGGGGAAACGACAUCGAAAGCUUGCUUUUGAUGGGCGUCGACCGGCGCACGGGUGAGUAACGCGUAUCCAACCUGCCCACCACUUGGGGAUAACCUUGCGAAAGUAAGACUAAUACCCAAUGACGUCUCUAGAAGACAUCUGAAAGAGAUUAAAGAUUUAUCGGUGAUGGAUGGGGAUGCGUCUGAUUAGCUUGUUGGCGGGGUAACGGCCCACCAAGGCGACGAUCAGUAGGGGUUCUGAGAGGAAGGUCCCCCACAUUGGAACUGAGACACGGUCCAAACUCCUACGGGAGGCAGCAGUGAGGAAUAUUGGUCAAUGGACGAGAGUCUGAACCAGCCAAGUAGCGUGCAGGAUGACGGCCCUAUGGGUUGUAAACUGCUUUUAUAUGGGAAUAAAGUGAGUCUCGUGAGACUUUUUGCAUGUACCUUAUGAAUAAGGACCGGCUAAUUCCGUG
RNAcentral lists this ribosomal RNA (492 nucleotides) under uncultured bacterium. RNAcentral's name for it is "partial 16S ribosomal RNA". It matches the Rfam family "Bacterial small subunit ribosomal RNA", at positions 28 to 507 of the family's 1533-position model. The record is from RNAcentral.